UCAGCGACAACUCCCUUGGUUACCUGGACAACCCGUAACGCUGCCGCAGCGACUGCAGCUGACGCGCUGUCGCUGACGCUCACGCUGACGCGGGUACAGCGAGACACACUUCGCAAAGUUACCACAGAGCUUCGCUGUGAAGCCGAGAGAACGUGCGCAGGCGCAGUGAGGUCUAGGGCGGGACCGAGAGGACUCGAAUCCUCUCUUCAACCAAUCCUGUCGUCGCUUGCAAACUCAAGCUCAAGCCACGCCCACGAGCCCUCCUCAACCUCGAGGUCCUAUGGCAUCGCGGUCUUCCUCCCGCCUGGAUUUUGUCUGGGUAUGAGGCAGCCCUGCCAAUCACAGAGGAGUCAAACCCACUGACCCAGGACCUCGACAAAGCAGAUGCCGAGCAAACUGUUCCAUUGCUGGGACAAUGUGAUGCUGAGAUCUUCCAGGAGGAGGGGCAAGUCAUGCCCACAGACUAGAGACUGUAUAGUGAAUCAGUUCUGACCACCAUGGUCCAAGUGGCUGGCAAAGUGCAGGAAGUGCUGAAGAUAGGAAAACAUAGGACAAUCACAGUAGCUUGCCCAAAUAUAUCCAGCUAAUAAUUGCUGGGUAGCACUGCUUUUUAUUGAGUGAUUGGUGGAUGACAAAGCUGCUCUUGGUCCUUUCUGGAAUGAGUAAGGUUGGAGUCUCCUUCAACCAGCUAAUGAAAGGUCUAGGACAGAAACCUCUACACCUACCUCAUUGCAAGCAGUGACAGGUCUGUGGUGGCAUCUAGGGAGGGGACAGAAGAUAGUGCCCUGCACGGGAUUGAAGAACUGAAGAAGGUCUGUGUUUUCCCCUGAUAGUCAACCAGACGUCUCUGUCUGUUCCUUCUCAGGAGGACACUAGAGUCCCCAUCCAGCCAAAGCCCGUUCUCUUCCCCAGUCCUGACCCUGACAUCUCCAUGCAAUAGGCUCCCUUUGUGGCAGGCCAGAUGGACUCCGGCUUGGACAGCCCAGGCACUUUCUUACCAGUCCUGGUUGGUUUCAGCCCCGUGAACAUGGCCAGAUGGACGCUUUGAUCCCAGAGGUCAGCGUGUGAAACCGAUAGUGCUCAGGUGUGGUUCCCUGGAUGUUCAGCCUCAGGAGUGUUAAAGCAAGAAGAAAGUAGAUUCGUAGACCCUUGUGCGAGAGCUAGGAUGUUGUCGCUUUGGGGUGAGGCCUGAAAUGCCUUAUUUUUUGAGACCACCCCUGGCGAUGCUGGUGCCCGGCCACGUGCGGGGAGCUCUGCUGACUUCACCAUUGGCGUGGGCCUCUUGAUGAAGCUGAAGGCUUCCUGUCACUGGAAUGUUCCAGGGAAGGCUUGUGGAUUCCUCAAGAGCAGCUCUGCACAUGCAGUGGUGGUCCUGGGGGGAGGGGCGGCCGGGUGCUUUCUGAGGUCCUUUUCUCAACUCCCAGAUUCCAGGCUUGUAGCGUAAUUCAAGUGACGAUAUAAAUGAGUCUGAGAUACUGUUAA
Mustela erminea (ermine) is the source of this 1482-nucleotide long non-coding RNA. RefSeq lists it as uncharacterized. The transcript is spliced from 8 exons. The record is from RefSeq and is a predicted model, not a curated record. NCBI's taxonomy places the organism in Eukaryota, Metazoa, Chordata, Mammalia, Carnivora, Mustelidae.